CCUACGGGGGGCAGCAGUGGGGAAUAUUGGGCAAUGGGCGAAAGCCUGACCCAGCGACGCCGCGUGGGUGAUGAAGGCCUUCGGGUUGUAAAGCCCUGUCAUGCGGAAAGAACAGUCUUACGGUUAAUACCCGUGAGAUUUGACGGUACCGCAGGAGGAAGCACCGGCUAACUCCGUGCCAGCAGCCGCGGUAAUACGGAGGGUGCAAGCGUGGUUAGGAAUUAUUUGGCGUAAAGGGAAAGUAAGCGGUGAAAUACUUCGGCUCAACUGAAGAACUGCAUCUGAAACUUCAUAACUAGAGUACAGAAGAGGGAAAUGGAAUUCCCGGUGUAGAGGUGAAAUUCGUAGAUAUCGGGAGGAACACCAGUGGCGAAGGCGAUUUCCUGGUCUGAUACUGACGCUGAGGCGUGAAAGUGUGGGGAGCAAACAGGAUUAGAUACCCGGGUAGUC
RNAcentral lists this ribosomal RNA (450 nucleotides) under uncultured bacterium. Its description in RNAcentral is "partial 16S ribosomal RNA". It matches the Rfam family "Bacterial small subunit ribosomal RNA", at positions 338 to 795 of the family's 1533-position model. The record is from RNAcentral.